This 3069-nucleotide long non-coding RNA is filed under the name Pongo abelii (Sumatran orangutan). RNAcentral's name for it is "lincRNA". Lineage: Eukaryota; Metazoa; Chordata; Mammalia; Primates; Hominidae. The record is from RNAcentral.
AGAAUAAAGCAGGCAAAGGAACGUGGAAGGACUAGACUGCCUGAGUCUUCCAAUCUUCAUCUUUCUCCUGUUUUGGAUGCCUCCUGCCCUCAAACAUCAGACUCCAGGUUCUUCAGCUUUUGGACUCUUGGACCUACCCCCCGAGUGGUUUGCCAGGGGCUCUCAGGCCUUCGGCUACAGACAGAGGGCUGCACUAUCGGCUUUCCUACUUUUGAGGUUUUGGGACUUUCCUGGCUUACUUGCUCCUCAGCUUGCAGACAGCCUGUUGUGGGACGUCACCUUAUGAUCAUGUACAUCAGGGAAAUACACACCCCUCCCAGGGAUGCUGGAAGGUUAAGGUCCUAACGCCUCCUGCACAUCUGAGCAGCUGCACAUUGAACCAGAUAGUCUUGGAAUGUGGGACAACAGAGGCAGACUCAAGAGUCUGGAACUUUAUUUUAGGAUCACACAAAAAGAUACAUGAUUUUCAUAGUAUUGAAAGCACCUCAAAAAUAAAAUCACUAGUAUCUACAGAUCACUAUGAGACUGGACUGGAACAUUACCUUCAGACACAUUGAUAUGACUAUAUGCUGGACAUUUUCUUGCAGAAAUCCAAAAAAAUCCCCAUUUUCUUGCAGAAAUCUAAAAUAAUCUCCUCUAUGUGCAAGUCAGACUGAGCACCACUCCCAAGACUAUGACCUCCCCUGCACCCCUGCUCCUUCCCACUCACCUCUCCUCUUGAGAAAGCCACCUCCCACUACCCAGUCUGCAGUGCCAGAAAACUGGAAACCAGCCCCGAACCUGCUUUCACCUUUGGCCCAUUUCUCACUAGCCAGCCUCUCCCACGGCCUCCCCAGUUUCUUCAAAUACACCCCCUCCACUAUUCACCAUACUGCCACCGUGAUUUACAACUUUUUGUCCGGAUUACCUCAGUAGCCUUCUAAUUGUCCCCUUUGCAUCUAAAGUAGCCCCUCUCAACCCCCAAAUCUUACCACGUCACUCUUCUACAUAAUUCUGGCUUUCCAUGACCCAUAACCACAUUUCUCAAGUGUGCUCUAUGCUGGCUUGAAUAUGUUAAUGAUCUUAAUUCUACUUUUAGUGCAAUUUUCUUAGAGCUGGCAUCACUUUCAUCAUGACGUGAGAACUUACUAGAGAUAGGCAAUGAUGACUCACAGUCAAGCCACAUGUCAUGUGCUGCAGACAUCCGGACUGCUGCUUAUUUGCAAAUCCUUUUCUUCAUAUUUUUCUCAUUUGUAGCACUGGAUCAAUUCCAAUUAAGAGUUUAAUAAUGAAUUAACUAAUGAUUUAAACAGAUUGAUAAGACUAACACUGAACCAAUGAUUUUAAGUAAAUCUAAAUACAUAAAUCUCCCCAAAUUAUUAAUCUAUGUUGUUUACUAAGAAGUGUAUUAAAAUAAUAUUGAAAAAGCUUGCUUUGUGAAAGAGCUAGAAGUUAGAAGGUCUAGGUUCAAAUCCCGCCUCUACUCCAUCCUUGACUAAGAUGUUGGACCCAUCACCUCAACUUGCCUUGGGUCAUUUUGCCCAGACAUCACUUGAUGACACAGAGCUUACCUGGACCUCCACAAUGGUAAAUAGAACAGGGCCAGCAAACCAAAAUUUGUUGAAUCCUUUAGAAUUAAGUAGCUUAGAUAAAUUUUCAUCAAAAUCUUUGUAUAGUAGGGAAUAGAAGAAAGUCUAAUCAAAAAAGUCAAUUCUGUUUUAUUUGAGGAUGCAUGACUAUGUUACCAUUUUUCAGACUCUGAUUUACCUUCCAAUUAUUGUUUAUUUGGGUCACUGUAAAUUAGUUAUCAUUUUUUGAAUACACAUUCACUGCUGACAAAGUGGUGGAGCCAGAAGUUAUGUUUGACCAGGGAAGAUUAUGACCCUCAAAGGAGAAAAAUCCACAGGGGGUAGUUGAUUAUUGGUGGAAUAGAGUGAGAGUGAAUUCCUUAAAAGUUUAAAUGAAAGCAUAACUAUAUUCACAUUGUGGAGGGAACUUCGUUUCUGAUAUGAUGAGCUAUUGCCCCAAGUCAUGACAAUAUCUUGCUCUCUGGAAGAGAAUGAGUUUGUCAUCCGCCAAGAUACACACUUUAUAUUUCCAACCAUCACAUCUGCCUUGCAGGCUGACUGAACCCAGAGCAAAUCAAUCACAAAAGUUAAUCCAAAAGACUUCCCUUCAGCUGCUGGAAAUCAGUUAUCACAUCUGUGAAAAGAGUGCUAGUUAUAACAAAUGAGAUCACAAAUUUGACCAUUAGACACCCUCUAUUAGUGUUAACAGACAAAGAUGAAGGUUAAGUUGAAAUUAAAUUGAAAUCUUCUUCCCUCAGUACUGAUUGCAAUAUCUGAUAAUACCCUCAACUUUCUUGGUGCAAAUCAAUUGCCUGGUACUCAGAGCCCAGUGUUAACAGGCAAUAACUGGUGUGAUUCUAGAGAAGAGGACUAGGUGGCAGGAAAAUAAAUGAGAUUAGCAGUAUUUGACUUGGAGCCAUAGGCAUCAAUUCUGCUCUAGCUGUCAACCAGGUUCUAAGAACAAGACUCAGAGCAGCUUUUGCUCCUGCUAGUGAUGCAGGGCCAGGAGAGCCCCCACACUCUGCAUUUGCAGGUGUCCAUGAGGGGAAGCCACUCCUGCAUUUAUCCUGUGAGUGGAGAAGCUCAGAGGAAUGAGGACAUUCCAAUAGGGUAUCAGAAUUCUCUUUUGUUUAUGCUAAUUAACAGAGCAGGAACAUCACCAUCUUAGACAAACACCAUCAUUUUAAGUUCCCCUUUAUUAAAAAACUGCCUAAAUCCAGCCCCAAAACAUCAGCCUAAUGGCUAUUGUCAGCAUAAUCAGAAACAUUCCAACCCUAAGAUAAACACCCCUCUGGCCAGAAACAUGCCAACUCCGAGACAGCCUCCCCUCCGACCAGAGACAUUCCAAACCCGCGGUAAACUUUCCCUCACAUAGAAACAUUCCAAACCUACAAAAAGCUUCCCCCUUCCUAAACCCUUAAAUAUGCUUAGUCUGUAAGAGAGAAUGCUCCUGACUGAAACCGGCCAGAAGCCCCUCUCAGGUUUAUUCUCCCAAAUAAACCUGUCUUUGACUGUUGAGCCA